UUAGUGUGGCUGCCGCCAGAAUUUGUCAUUAGUAUUUUUAAUUUUUGUUCAUAGCACCACCUAUUUUACAUGUGCAUCGCCCUUUAAGUAAUUUCUCUUUGUUACUUAAGAAAGAUUUACAGCGCAUGCCUAGCGCGGGUCAAUGUCAAUAAAAGGCCUACAAACACAUUUUUAGUACGCACGAGAAAAUAGUUCCAUACAUUCAAGCAUAAGAAAUAAGUUAUUAUCAUUAAUUAUGUACUGAAAUGUAAAGUAAUGUUCAUUGAAAUGCGAAUAACAUUAGUAAAUUCUGUCAAAACUAAAUCGUUGGUCGUUUUAAGUAAAUUCCAGUUGGACAAAUUAUUUGAUAUCCGUGUGCCGAUAAGUUCGGUGAACGCGUUGACCCUUGGCUUUUCUGAAUUACGACCUGGCCCAAGCAAUACGUGUUUUGUGGGGUCUUCAAGAAACGCCAAAGUUUCAAGGUAUAUUUUGCUGCCCAAGGAUGGAAAAGUCCUGCCAACGAGUUUUCACGGCACUGUUCAUCACUGUUACUUUGUUUUGACAAUCGUUAAGUCAAAUAAAGACAUUCGUCACCAGAAAAUGAA
Molecule: long non-coding RNA, 584 nt
Organism: Strongylocentrotus purpuratus (purple sea urchin)
Lineage: Eukaryota; Metazoa; Echinodermata; Echinoidea; Camarodonta; Strongylocentrotidae
Exons: 2
Source: RefSeq, a predicted model, not a curated record